ACCAUGGCCUGAUAUUGUUCUAAAUAAAGAGAAAAAUACACGAAACCAUUGUGAUAAUGAAAACAAGUUAGAACUUUUUUUUACAAGGAAAAAUAAAAACAAAAGCUAUUUCAAGCAAAAGCCUUGGUUGAUGAUGAGUGUUUUAUGCAGGAGCCUGGGCCAAAUUCUAAAAGGCCGAAGCAUCUGCACCUAUAUAAUUAACCAUCUGACACCAGCCAGCCAGGUAAUGGCACCAUGUGUUCUUCUCAAAGGAGCUGUAUUAUCACCACCUGUCUGUCUGCUAUCUGUGAAACACUUCCCACGUUCCUCUAUGGCUCAAUCAUGAAUGUGCCCUCAGGCCACCUCUCUAUCUAUCUGCAGCUAUUUAUUUUUUAAUGGUAAUCCUCAUAAUUCACACAGAAGCAUACUCUUAAGGGUGCAUAAACUUUGAACAAUAAUAACCCUUCAACUAGCUACUCAUGCUUGCAUUCAUCUUCUUCAACUGUGACUAGGAAGCCAAAAAGGAAAAGAUUUAUUCAGAAGGCGAACCAUUAAAAUGACUCAGAAGAGAAAUGGAAGAAUGGAGAAGAAGAAGGGGAGGAAGAGGGAGAUCCAGAG
This 597-nucleotide unclassified non-coding RNA is filed under the name Hevea brasiliensis (rubber tree). The record is from RNAcentral. Lineage: Eukaryota; Viridiplantae; Streptophyta; Magnoliopsida; Malpighiales; Euphorbiaceae.